GGGCUUCGCAGGCGGUUUUUUAAGUCUGAAUGUGAAAGCCCCCCGGCUUAACCGGGGAGGGUCAUUGGAAACUGGGAAACUUGAGUGCAGAAGAGGAGAGUGGAAUUCCACGUGUAGCGGUGAAAUGCGUAGAGAUGUGGAGGAACACCAGUGGCGAAGGCGACUCUCUGGUCUGUAACUGACGCUGAGGAGCGAAAGCGUGGGGAGCGAACAGGAUUAGAUACCCUGGUAGUCCACGCCGUAAACGAUGAGUGCUAAGUGUUAGGGGGUUUCCGCCCCUUAGUGCUGCAGCUAACGCAUUAAGCACUCCGCCUGGGGAGUACGGUCGCAAGACUGAAACUCAAAGGAAUUGACGGGGGCCCGCACAAGCGGUGGAGCAUGUGGUUUAAUUCGAAGCAACGCGAAGAACCUUACCAGGUCUUGACAUCCUCUGACAACCCUAGAGAUAGGGCUUUCCCUUCGGGGACAGAGUGACAGGUGGUGCAUGGUUGUCGUCAGCUCGUGUCGUGAGAUGUUGGGUUAAGUCCCGCAACGAGCGCAACCCUUGAUCUUAGUUGCCAGCAUUCAGUUGGGCACUCUAAGGUGACUGCCGGUGACAAACCGGAGGAAGGUGGGGAUGACGUCAAAUCAUCAUGCCCCUUAUGACCUGGGCUACACACGUGCUACAAUGGACAGAACAAAGGGCUGCAAGACCGNCAGGUUUAGCCAAUCCCAUAAAUCUGUUCUCAGUUCGGAUCGCAGUCUGCAACUCGACUGCGUGAAGCUGGAAUCGCUAGUAAUCGCGGAU
Molecule: ribosomal RNA, 787 nt
Filed under: Bacillus pumilus
Lineage: Bacteria; Bacillati; Bacillota; Bacilli; Caryophanales; Bacillaceae
Description: bacterial SSU rRNA
Rfam family: Bacterial small subunit ribosomal RNA
Source: RNAcentral